UGCCCCAUAGUCUGGGAUACCACUUGGAAACAGGUGCUAAUACCGGAUAAGAAAGCGGAUCGCAUGAUCAGCUUUUAAAAGGCGGCGUAAGCUGUCGCUAUGGGAUGGCCCCGCGGUGCAUUAGCUAGUUGGUAAGGUAAAGGCUUACCAAGGCGAUGAUGCAUAGCCGAGUUGAGAGACUGAUCGGCCACAUUGGGACUGAGACACGGCCCAAACUCCUACGGGAGGCAGCAGC
RNAcentral lists this ribosomal RNA (235 nucleotides) under uncultured Lactobacillus sp. RNAcentral's name for it is "partial 16S ribosomal RNA". It matches the Rfam family "Bacterial small subunit ribosomal RNA", at positions 127 to 355 of the family's 1533-position model. The record is from RNAcentral. Lineage: Bacteria; Bacillati; Bacillota; Bacilli; Lactobacillales; Lactobacillaceae.